UGUCACCGAGCCCUGCCGUGGGUCGGGUCCUGGUUCUGGUGGCCACGACCUGACGUUUUUUGGGUGCUCCGGGUGCGGCGGUGGAACUCAGGGGUAGCAGGAUCCACCCGUUCCCUUUGUGCCUGGAUGCAGCAUCACCAGCAACAGGCAGGGCACAGCGGCAGCUCUCCGACCCAUCGGUACAUCACCCGUACCGGUGUUUUAGCUGCGUUUUGUGCCCAGCCCGGGUUUCUAUCCCAAAUAAAGACCCUCACAACAGCUGCGCCGUGGAAGCCUCUCACUGCCGGAGCUUGCGGGCUCAGCGCGUCCGUCCGGCCUCCGCGGGGCUCCCGCUGCUCCGCCCCGGUACCGGCCCCGCCCCGGCGCGGAACAGGACGCGGCACAUCCGCUUCCCUCGGCGGUCCGGAGCGGAGGAAGGUGAGCGCCGGGGGCGGCGGACUCGGGAGCACUGGGAGGGGGGGGGACCCUCGGUGCCUGUCCCCGCUGCAGGGCGGUAUGAGCGCGGCUAAGCCCAAGCGCAUCAAGUUCUCGGACGAGGAGAAAUUCCUCAUCCUGGAGGAGUUCAGCCUCCGCAAGGACAUCCUCAUCCCCAAGAGCGGCCGAUACCGCAACACGCAGGACCGGCAGCGCGCGUGGGAGGAGAUCGCGGCCGCCGUCAACGCGCUGAGCCCGGUGGUGCGGCGCACGGCCGAGGAGAUCCGCAAGAAGUGGCACAACAUGGUGCUGGACGCGCGCCGGGAGCUGGCAGCCGACAAGCACCCGCUGCUCCGACAGCGGCCCCAGGAGCGGCUCCUCCAUCACAUCUUCGCCCUCUUCAACAAGCCCGGCCCAACGCCCGCCCCGUCCUUCGGGCUGCCCGCGGCCGCCCCCGAGCUGCUGCCGCACGGCCCCGCUCCGCACCGCUUCCCCGGCUCCGAGGAGAGGCCGCUGCCCGGCGCGGAGAGCAGGCUGCAGCCAACCCACGGACCGGCCGCCCCAGCGCAGGGCGCAGCCCUCGGUCCUCCGCCUGGCAACCCCGAGCCGCCCCGCGUCAAGUGCCCGCUGAGCCCCGCGCUGGGGUGGCCGUGCCUCGAGGCCAUGGCCAGCCCCGCAUCGUUGGGAACGGGCAGCCCUGGGCCCCCAGAGCCCCCGCAUGAUAACGGUGGCACAGCAGCCUCGGAGCUGUCAGAAAAGCAGAGGCAGCUGCACACCGAGAUCCUGGAGCUGCAGAAGGAGACUCUGCAGCUGCAGAAGGAGAAGAUCGUGCUGGAAAAGGAGAAGCUCCUCCUGGAAAUCCUGAAGCUGCGCAGGGAGUUGGGCACAUGA
This 1305-nucleotide long non-coding RNA is filed under the name Coturnix japonica (Japanese quail). RNAcentral's name for it is "lncRNA (ENSCJPG00005008529.1)". Lineage: Eukaryota; Metazoa; Chordata; Aves; Galliformes; Phasianidae. The record is from RNAcentral.